UACGUAGGUGGCAAGCGUUGUUCGGAAUUAUUGGGCGUAAAGGGCGCGUAGGCGGCAUGUUAAGUCGGAUGUGAAAGCCCUUGGCUUAACCGAGGAAGUGCAUCCGAAACUGAGCAGCUAGAGUACGAAAGAGGGUCGCGGAAUUCCCGGUGUAGAGGUGAAAUUCGUAGAUAUCGGGAGGAACACCGGUGGCGAAGGCGGCGACCUGGGUCGAGACUGACGCUGAGGCGCGAAAGCGUGGCGAGCAAACAGG
Molecule: ribosomal RNA, 253 nt
Filed under: uncultured bacterium
Lineage: Bacteria
Description: partial 16S ribosomal RNA
Rfam family: Bacterial small subunit ribosomal RNA
Source: RNAcentral